CGCCGCCGCCCGGCGACGACGAGGAGGCGCGAACGGGCCACGGGCUGCCACGGCCCCGGUCCCGCGGCUCGUUGGCGUACGACUUCCCGACACUGUCGGCGCACGACUUCCCACUGCACCCCGCCAGCGCCAGCUCCACGCAUCAGCUGGUGUACGAGCCGGGCCGGGCGGGCCGCGCCGGCUCGCGGGACAGCCUGUACGAGACGCUGACACCGCACGGCAGCGGCGGUGGUGGCGGCGGUGGCGGCGGCGCGGCCCGCCGCCACGCCUUCGAGCGCAGCCGCGACGAGCUGCUCUUUGAGAAGAGCAACAGCUGGCGAAUGGCGUUCUGAGGCGCGCGCCACGCAGGACCAAAGUCUAGUGUACUACGACAUUCACGACUUCGAUCAAGAGGAGCCGGUGCGGAGCCGCGGGCCGCCCUCGCUGGCGCUCACCGCCUACAGCGGCCGCUCCGCCAAUCACGCGCUCCGGCAGGGGCGGCACGGCCCCACGUGAUCAGCGCCUGCUGCGGGCGCGGCAGGUCACGCGUGGUCACGUGACACGCUUGCGCUCGGGCGUCGUCUUGCCUCGCCUCGACUGGUGGUAGACUCGAGUCCGCAGCCUCCGGAAAGAGAGGUGCCAAUCAAAUGAGGUGUGCGCGCCGGGCGAGAUGGAGGUCGCGCCUGCCGGCGCCGCACGGCUUGACCAGGAGCAACCUGAGGCGGUGGAAGGCGCUUUUUGACCAGGUAUUGCGCCUGUCUGUGAAACCUAAUCUGCGGUGCGCUAUUGUGUUACUGUGUUACUGGCGAACUCUUGGGAGUGUCAGCUGGUGCGUGUUUCAGAUCAUGUCCUACUGUAAUUGACAGCGAUGUGCACCGAUCGCGAGUGUGUCGUCAUAACAGUCAUGCGUCGCGCCGUGUCCGUGUUAUGUGAUUGUAUUGUAUAGCUGACCAGUGACCAUGCAUCUCAGAUAUCAAUAUACAUGGCGAAGAGG
Molecule: long non-coding RNA, 973 nt
Organism: Pollicipes pollicipes
Lineage: Eukaryota; Metazoa; Arthropoda; Thecostraca; Pollicipedomorpha; Pollicipedidae
Exons: 3
Source: RefSeq, a predicted model, not a curated record